AAAGAACCUACAUUGAAAUAUUGAGGGCAGGUUCCACCUAUACUUCUUUCAUGGAUUUACUUAUUUUUUAUUUGUCCCCCUCUGUAUCCUAGAAACUCCUGGAGGGCAGAGGCAGGCCUGCCAUCUUCAUCAUUGCAUUACCACCACCCAACACUAUCGGGGGACCUGCCCUGAUAAUCAGUCUACAGGUGUAUUCAGCAGCUCCAGAGAGACAGCGACCAGCGAGAAGGGGCCAUGAUGAUGGUGGUGGUUUUGUCAAAACGAAAAUGGGGAUAUGUAGGGAAAAGAAAGAGAGAUCAGACUGUUACUGUGUCUACAUAGAAAGGGAAGACAUAAGAGACUCCAUUUUGGAAAAGACCUGUACUUUAAAGAAUUGCUUUGCUGAGAUGUUGUUAAUCUGUAGCUUUGCCCCAGCCACUUUGCCCCAACCACUUUGACCCAAUCUGGAGCUCACAAAAACAUGUGUUGUAUGAAAUCAAGGUUUAAGGCAUGUAGGGCUGUGCAGGAUGUGUCUUGUUAACCAAAUGUUUGCAAGCAGUAUACUUGGUAAAAGUCAUCACCAUUCUCUCGUCUCAAUAAACCAGGGUCACAAUGCACUGUGGAAAGCCGCAGGGACCUCUGCCCUUGAAAGCUGGGUAUUGUCCAAAGUCUCUCCCCAUGUGAUAGUCUGAAAUAUGGCCUCGUGGGAUGAGAAAGACCUGACGGUCCCCCAGCGCGACACCCAUAAAAGGUCUGUGCUGAGGUGGAUUAGUCAAAGAGGAAAGACUCUUGCCGUUGAGAUAGAGGAAGGCCACUGUCUCCUGACUGCCCCUGGGAACUGAAUGUCUCGGUAUAAAACACGAUUGUACAUUUGUUCAAUUCUGAGAUGGGAGAAAAACCGCCCUAUGGUGGGAGGCGAGACAUGUUUACAGCAAUGCCGCCUUGUUAUUCUUUACUCCACUGAGAUGUUUGAGUGGAGAGAAACAUAAAUCUGGCUUACAUGCACGUCCAGUCAUAGUACCUUCCCUUGAACUCCAUUAUGACAUAGAUUCUAUUGCUCACAUGUUUGUUGCUGACUUUCUCCUUAUUAUCACCCUGCCCUCCUACUACAUUCCUUUUUGCUGAAAUAAUGAAGAUAAUAAUCAAUAAAAAACUGAGGGAACUCAGAGGCUGGUGCCAGUGCAGGUCCUUAGUAUGCUAAGCGCCGGUCCC
This 1191-nucleotide long non-coding RNA is filed under the name Pan troglodytes (chimpanzee). RNAcentral describes it as "long non-coding RNA NONPTRT016945". Lineage: Eukaryota; Metazoa; Chordata; Mammalia; Primates; Hominidae. The record is from RNAcentral.